UGGCUCAAAAAUGGAAAUUAAAUUGAAGAAAAUGAAUGAAAAGGAAGACAAACAACAUAUAGAGGCUGUGUUCAAGACAUUUAAACCUUUAGCAUCCAGCUGCUUUCAUGAAUUUGUCAUAGGGGCAUGAAGGUGGUAAUCUGAAAGAACUAUGUCCGUACUCAACUGAGCAGAGGGCAAGUUGGUCAGGUGCUCGGAUUUGAUUCUUGUUGUUUAACUUUGAGUCACUUUGUAAAAACUUCACUUUCUCAUUAAAUGCUGAAGCGCUUUUCUUUUCAUCUCCAGUGGGGAAAAUCUUGGCAUCAUGUAUUUGCUUAAAACUUUGAAGCAUUGACAUCUUCUGUUGUUUACCUGUCACAAGAGCUUCACACUGACUCUUCAUUUGGUCAUAAGGUACAGGUGUGGAGGAAAUCUGGGAGCUUGCAACUUGAUGUGCAGUUUCCAAGACUGAUUCCAAAAGUUCAUUGACACUUAGAAUGUCUAAUGAAUUGAAAGUGAUGUUUUGCGGUCUGACAGAUUCCCGUUAGCUUCAGUGACGCUUUCAUCAUCUGUCAAGGAAGCUGCAGGCAUGAUCUCUUCAAUAGCCUGAAACUCUAUUUGGGCAAGAGGAGAACAUGGCCUUGGUGUCUCCAUAAACAAGGGAGCUCCCAAUGGAUAUGCAUCAUCUGGAGAAAAUUCCUGAUGAAGUUGUUCCUUUAUGCCUGAUAAAUCAUCCUCUGUCAAUUUUGCAAUUUUGUCACGAAUUGGGAUAUCAAGGUUUCCUUCAAAAGGUGGUUAUCUAAUUCAACCGCUGAGAGAGAUUUUGACGCAGCAACUUCAUCUUCCUCUGAUCCAUAUACCAUCUUCCCUCCAUCAUAUUUUAAAUAAACAGUCUGCAGCCUGAUGUCUUCCACCGACUCAAGAUAAGGAUCAGCUGUUUUUUCUGUCAGAGAUGCUUUAACUAUACGAAUUAGCUCAGGGAGAUUCCCUGCCUUUGCAGAAAAAAUAAGCAUGUAUGAUGCCAAGGUGAAGAGAGA
This 1016-nucleotide unclassified non-coding RNA is filed under the name Hevea brasiliensis (rubber tree). Lineage: Eukaryota; Viridiplantae; Streptophyta; Magnoliopsida; Malpighiales; Euphorbiaceae. The record is from RNAcentral.